Molecule: small nucleolar RNA, 138 nt
Organism: Juglans regia (Persian walnut)
Lineage: Eukaryota; Viridiplantae; Streptophyta; Magnoliopsida; Fagales; Juglandaceae
Product: small nucleolar RNA Z247
Exons: 1
Source: RefSeq, a predicted model, not a curated record
CCUCUUAUUGACUGUGAAUUAGUCAGUUACAUCUUGGUUGGCCUUGGGUCUGAUGUGACCCAGUCAUCACUUCUCUCACCAAUAGGUUGGAGCCUAUGAACCUUUAGGAGAUUUAUAGCCAUUUACUCCAUUAUGAGC